Molecule: ribosomal RNA, 373 nt
Filed under: uncultured Leptolinea sp.
Lineage: Bacteria; Bacillati; Chloroflexota; Anaerolineae; Anaerolineales; Anaerolineaceae
Description: bacterial SSU rRNA
Rfam family: Bacterial small subunit ribosomal RNA
Source: RNAcentral
GGUAGGAACCGAAAGGCGACCGACCUUCGGGUAGCUUGCACAGGUGCUGCAUGGCUGUCGUCAGCUCGUGUCGUGAGAUGUUCGGUUAAGUCCGCUAACGAGCGCAACCCUCGCUGUGUGUUACAAGUGUCACACGGUACUGCCGGUCUUAAGCCGGAGGGAGGUGGGGAUGACGUCAAGUCAGCAUGGCCUUUAUGUCCUGGGCUACACACACGCUACAAUGGCCAACACAAUAGGUUGCUAAGCCGCGAGGUGGAGCCAAUCCUCAAAGUUGGUCUCAGUUCAGAUUGCAGGCUGCAACCCGCCUGCAUGAAGAUGGAGUUGCUAGUAACCGCAGGUCAGCUAUACUGCGGUGAAUACGUUCCCGGGCCUU